This 393-nucleotide ribosomal RNA is filed under the name uncultured bacterium. RNAcentral describes it as "bacterial SSU rRNA". It matches the Rfam family "Bacterial small subunit ribosomal RNA", at positions 618 to 1009 of the family's 1533-position model. The record is from RNAcentral.
AAAUUGCCAUUGAUACUGGUUUUCUUGAGUUAUUGUGAAGUGGUUAGAAUGAGUAGUGUAGCGGUGAAAUGCAUAGAUAUUACUCAGAAUACCGAUUGCGAAGGCAGAUCACUAACAAUGAACUGACGCUGAUGGACGAAAGCGUAGGUAGCGAACAGGAUUAGAUACCCUGGUAGUCUACGCCGUAAACGAUGGUUACUAGCUGUUCGGGCAAAUUGAUGUCUGAGUGGCUAAGCGAAAGUGAUAAGUAACCCACCUGGGGAGUACGUUCGCAAGAAUGAAACUCAAAGGAAUUGACGGGGGCCCGCACAAGCGGUGGAGCAUGUGGUUUAAUUCGAUGCAACGCGAAGAACCUUACCAGCCCUUGACAUCCUCGGAACUUACUAGAGAUAG